AUACUUACCUGGCAGGGGAGAUAUCACCAUCAUGAAGGUGGCUUUCCCAAGACAAGGCUCACCCAUUGCACUCCAGAUGGGCUCACCCCUGUGAUUCCCCCGAGUGUGGGAAACUCUACCGCAUGAUUUGUGGUGGGGGGGGACUGCAUUCACGCUCUCCCCUG
Small nuclear RNA from Artibeus jamaicensis (Jamaican fruit-eating bat), 164 nucleotides. RefSeq annotates it as U1 spliceosomal RNA. Lineage: Eukaryota; Metazoa; Chordata; Mammalia; Chiroptera; Phyllostomidae. The record is from RefSeq and is a predicted model, not a curated record. The transcript has a single exon.